Molecule: ribosomal RNA, 2430 nt
Filed under: Triticum aestivum (bread wheat)
Lineage: Eukaryota; Viridiplantae; Streptophyta; Magnoliopsida; Poales; Poaceae
Description: partial small subunit ribosomal RNA
Source: RNAcentral
CCUACUGGUACUGGUACUGGAAGAAGUUUUCCCCUCCGCCGCCGCCACCAAUCCGCCUCCGCCUCCGCCUCCGACUCUAGCCCUCGUCGGACACGGAGAGGGGAGGAGCUUCCAUACAUAUACUCCGGCGAGGCAGGGGAGAGUUCUCUUCAGGGAGAGGAGAGGGAGGGAUGGCGUGGACGCGCUACCACGCCUCCUCGACGCAUCCUCCUUCAAUCCCCGCUCGCCGUCGUCCCAAGUCCGGCGCCGACGAUGCCCCCUUUCCUCCAUGGGUCCUGCUCGACGACCGCGCAUACCUCGCCGGCGAAUCCAACCACACCACGGCCGUCUCCCGCACAAGGCACGGCGACCAGAUCCAAGCCACCUUCUUCCUCGCCGACCCGCCGCUCGUCUCCUACUUCGCCGUCUCGUGCGCCGCCGAGCUUGGCUGCGAGCCCAGGGUCCUCUACACAGAGGCCAACCUCGUCCUCCUCGUCUCGGUGCCCGGCGACCCCCGCAACGCCAUCGACCCCCGGAAGAACGACUUCUACGUCUACGAGGUGGACGACGACGCCGGCGCCGGCGGCGGCCCUCCCAAGGCCACACUGACGCUGCUUCCGCACCCCCCGCCCGACUUGUUCCCCUUCCCUCGGGACAGAUGCUACUACUUCCAUGACUGCCAGGUAGGACUCCUGCGCCACCGCAGGAACUCCGACGGCGGCGGCGGCGGCGGCUUUUAUCUUCGCCAGCACCGUCCCAGAGCCUAUGACGCCUACAUCGUCGCCGCGCUCUGUACACGGCUAACCUUCCCGGAGACGUUAGGCCUUUACACCUACGUCUCCGACACCGAGGUGUGGAGCAGCAAACCAGCCUCAUUCCCAGACGGCGGCAAACUGCCCCGAGCCGCCCUUCGAUGUGACAAGGUUAUCACCAUCGGAGGAGAAGCCGGCACCAUGGCCUGGGUCGAUCUCAUGCGGGGUAUCAUCCUAUGUGAUGUGCUCCCACUCGACGACGACGCCAAGACGCUUCGCUACAUCCCUCUGCCGGACCCCAUCCGGCCAGACGACACCAUCGACGAAUCUGGAGGCAUGUACCGGGACGUCGCCGUCGUCGGCAGCCGCAUCAAGUAUGCUGAGGUGAAGAUGCACGUCAGGCCGGGCUCGGCCGGCCCGAAAGGCUCCUUCACCAUCGAUGGCUGGACCGCCGUCGUAUGGAGCAGGCCGGCCAAUUCCUUCAAGGAGUCGACCACCUGGGGCAAGGACCAUGAGGUCCAUGCUCACCAGGUCUCUUUCGUUGACGGCAAAAACAAGACGGCGCCAGGCUUUGAGUUGCUCCCGGCUGUGGUGGAUCACCAGGGCAACCCGCAGCCGACCUUGGUGGGGAUCCACGUUGGCCAUCCCAAGCUCAGCCUGAGCGUCGGUGACAACACCCUUUACUUGAUGGCCAAGGUCAACCGCUGGUACGACAAAGCAUGGGUGAUCGCUGUCGACAUGAAGAACAAGAGGCUGCGGGGAGUGGCCGAGUUUGGUGGAGCACCAAGGUGCUCGGCGUUUCUCCAUGCCUAUAGGCAAAGCAGGAUCUCGGAGCAUCUCAAUGUCUCCCAAGGUACAAAGAGUCACCUGAAACGACCAGGGAUGCCACUGCCACAUGGAAGCUCUCACAAGAAGCCAGAGAUCCCUCCACAUCAUGUGAUGCAUCACUGUCCCAGUGGACAAAACCCCAGGGCGACAUGGCCCACAUUUCCCGCACAGACUAUUGAUGAUGAGGAUUAUGAUGAUGAUGAACGGACAAGGAUGGCAGACGACAUGGACUUGGAAUAACUUAACUUAUGGUACAAAGAGUCACCUGAAACGACCAGGGAUGCUACUGCUACAUGGAAUCUCUCACAAGAAGCCCGAGAUCUCUCCGCAUCACUGUCCCAGUGUGGAGAAAACCCAAGGGUGAAGCAACCCAUGUUUUUCGGACAAAGUAUUGAUGAUGAUGAUGAUUGGGCAAGGUCAGGAGACGGCAUGGGAGUUGGGAUAUAACUUAAUUUAUGGUACCUAGCUAGCUCUUGUGUUGCAGGACAGUGCCCGGUGCCUAGAGUUAUUUAUCUGUCUCUUUUUGUUAUGUAGCUCUUUAGUUAGCACUCCCUCUGUUCACUUUUAUAAGACGUUGUAGACAUUUCAGACAGUUCUCAAAACAGUUCAAACUCAGCUGUCUGAAACGUCUUAUAAAAAAGAACGGAGGGAGUAGUUACUAGUCAGGAUGAAUAACAACAUUUUAAAUUUUGCUCUGAUGCCUUUAAUUUGGUCUUCUGUUUAGUUGUUGUGUUUGUGGCUGGGCACUCUGUUCUCUAGGUGUUAUUUUUAGAUGAUUAAUUUCCAAUUUUCUUGUCUGUCGAAUGUUCUGUCUUGUCCUGGAUGUUUUGAGAUGGAAUAGAACCCUGCCUGUAAAACCUCAACCUUGUUG